AUCAAACAGUAAAUGUAAAGUAUAGUCAAAAAAGUGUCCUCUCCAAUUCCAGUCACUGAUCUUUCAUUGCUCUCUGUAUGCAUAUGUUAUGCUUCAAAGAGUGACAGUAGGUACAAAUUUGACAUCUUAACUUUGAACACCUAUAUCUCCUUCAAAAAAACUUAAAAACAUACAAACUCUUCAUCCAAAUUAUAUCCAAAACCCUGAACUUACUGAUCUUAGCCUCCAAAGCUCGAAUGACUUCAAAAGAGAAACCCUAAUCCCUAAUAAGGCCUCGGGCAGCCUCCUUGAAGCCUAUUCGGCAUGGCCUUCAACCAAUAGGAAUGAAGUUUUCCAUUCUUUGCCUUCAUCCAACCAUGCCUUGCUUUCAUCCCUCCCAAUAAGUCUUCUAUUAGUUAAGAAUUUCUUCUUUAGGCUCUAA
This 421-nucleotide long non-coding RNA is filed under the name Physcomitrium patens. RNAcentral describes it as "long non-coding RNA (PPAT_LNC003330)". Lineage: Eukaryota; Viridiplantae; Streptophyta; Bryopsida; Funariales; Funariaceae. The record is from RNAcentral.